UUGAGUAACGCAAACAUUGGUGAGAAUCCAAUGCCUCGAAAACCUAAGGGUUCCUCCACAAGGUUUGUCCACAGAGGGUGAGUCAGGGCCUAAGAUCAGGCCAAAAGGCGUAGUCGAUGGACAACAGGUGAAUAUUCCUGUACUACCCCUUAUUGGUCCCGAGGGAUGGAGGAGGCUAGGUUAGCCGAAAGAUGGUUAUCGAUUCAAGGACGCACGGUGUCCCUGCUUUCUUAGGGUAAGAAGGGGUAGAGAAAAUGCCUCAUCCCAAUGUUCGAGUACUAGGCACUAGGCACUGAAGUAACCCAUGCCAUACUCCCAGGAAAAGCUCGAACGACCUUCAACAAAAGGGUACCUGUACCUGAAACCGACACAGGUAGGUACAUAGAGAAUACCUAGGGGCACGAGACAACUCUCUCUAAGGAACUCGGCAAAAUAGCUCCGUAACUUCGGGAGAAGGGGUGCCUCCUCACAAAGGAGGUCACAAUGACCAGGCCCGGGUGACUGUUUACCAAAAACACAGGUCUCCACAAAGUUGUAAGACCAUGUAUAGGGGCUGACACCUGCCCAAUGUCGGAAGGUCAAGGAAGUUGGUGACUUGAUGACAAAGGAGCCAGCGACCAAAGCCCCGGUGAACGGCGGCCGUAACUAUAACGGUUCUAAGGUAGCAACAUUCCUUAUUGGGUAAGUCCCGACCCGCACGAAAGGCGUAACGAUCUAGGCACUGUCUCGGAGAGAGGCUCGGUGAAAUA
This 749-nucleotide non-coding RNA is filed under the name Ricinus communis (castor bean). RNAcentral describes it as "Bacterial large subunit ribosomal RNA". It matches the Rfam family "Bacterial large subunit ribosomal RNA", at positions 1302 to 2043 of the family's 2925-position model. Lineage: Eukaryota; Viridiplantae; Streptophyta; Magnoliopsida; Malpighiales; Euphorbiaceae. The record is from Rfam by way of RNAcentral.